This 495-nucleotide ribosomal RNA is filed under the name uncultured bacterium. RNAcentral's name for it is "partial 16S ribosomal RNA". It matches the Rfam family "Bacterial small subunit ribosomal RNA", at positions 28 to 507 of the family's 1533-position model. The record is from RNAcentral.
GACGAACGCUGGCGGCGUGCCUAAUACAUGCCAGUAGAACGCUGAAGGAGGAGCUUGCUUCUCUGGAUGAGUUGCGAACGGGUGAGUAACGCGUAGGUAACCUGCCUGGUAGCGGGGGAUAACUAUUGGAAACGAUAGCUAAUACCGCAUAAUAGUAGAUGUUGCAUGACAUUUGCUUAAAAGGUGCAAUUGCAUCACUACCAGAUGGACCUGCGUUGUAUUAGCUAGUUGGGGGGGUAACGGCUCACCAAGGCGACGAUACAUAGCCGACCUGAGAGGGUGAUCGGCCACACUGGGACUGGGACACGGCCCAGACUCCUACGGGAGGCAGCAGUAGGGGAUCUUCGGCAAUGGACGGAAGUCUGACCGCGCAACGCCGCGUGAGUGGAGAAGGUUUUCGGAUCGUAAAGCUCUGUUGUAUGAGAAGAACGAGUGUGAGGGUGGAAAGUUCACACUGUGACGGUAUCUUACCAGAAAGGGACGGCUAACUACGUG